Molecule: long non-coding RNA, 336 nt
Filed under: Oryza brachyantha (malo sina)
Lineage: Eukaryota; Viridiplantae; Streptophyta; Magnoliopsida; Poales; Poaceae
Description: long non-coding RNA (OBRA_LNC001331)
Source: RNAcentral
UAUAGAAUUACCAGGUUUAAAAUGAAAAAAUAAUUUACGGGUGAUUCACAGUGAAACUCUUUUAUACAAAGCGAGAACGAAAGUGUAAGUGGGAUACUAUGUAAACGUAUGUAAAACAAUCUAAUGUAGAUUUUAAAAGCAACUUAUUUUUUAGGGUAUAACUCGAGACGCACACGAACAUACGCGUGCACGUCCUUACAACACACUUAGAAUUUUGGGUACACAUGCAUGUGAGGAAAAAAUUCCCGGAUGAGACACGCGAGUUGCGAUCCCAGGAUCGAACUCGCAUGGGCUGCUCGUGCACCCACGUGACUAGCCACCCAAGCUUUGGUCGGU